UCCCUGGUGGCUCAGACGGUAAAGCGUCUGCCUACAAUGCAGGAGACCCAGGUUUGAUCCCUGGGUUGGGAA
This 72-nucleotide transfer RNA is filed under the name Bos taurus (domestic cattle). It matches the Rfam family "tRNA". Rfam says of the family: Transfer RNA (tRNA) molecules are approximately 80 nucleotides in length. Their secondary structure includes four short double-helical elements and three loops (D, anti-codon, and T loops). Further hydrogen bonds mediate the characteristic L-shaped molecular structure. tRNAs have two regions of fundamental functional importance: the anti-codon, which is responsible for specific mRNA codon recognition, and the 3' end, to which the tRNAs corresponding amino acid is attached (by aminoacyl-tRNA synthetases). tRNAs cope with the degeneracy of the genetic code in two manners: having more than one tRNA (with a specific anti-codon) for a particular amino acid; and 'wobble' base-pairing, i.e. permitting non-standard base-pairing at the 3rd anti-codon position. Lineage: Eukaryota; Metazoa; Chordata; Mammalia; Artiodactyla; Bovidae. The record is from Rfam by way of RNAcentral. RNAcentral also lists the same sequence under 2 other names.